This 280-nucleotide unclassified non-coding RNA is filed under the name Hevea brasiliensis (rubber tree). Lineage: Eukaryota; Viridiplantae; Streptophyta; Magnoliopsida; Malpighiales; Euphorbiaceae. The record is from RNAcentral.
AAAAAAAAAAAAAGGGGAAUUACUCUGGUUAAUGUCAUCUAGGCAUGUAGCAUAAUCUCUAAUUAGGUACAACAGCUCUUAGGUGAUGAAUUUAGUUUAUUUGGAAUGUGUGACUACGGUAUAAUUAAAAUAAAUGUGAAAUUUUAGUUAUUUGUAUGUGAAAAUUUAGUUAUUUGUUUGUAAAAAUUUAAAGAGUGUGACGCAAUCACAUAAAUAUUAAAUAAUGAAGCCUAAUGUGGUUCGCGGACUUUUAAUUUUCUGUACCAUGUAAGGCUAAGAA